RNAcentral lists this long non-coding RNA (603 nucleotides) under Zea mays. RNAcentral's name for it is "long non-coding RNA (ZMAY_LNC005102)". The record is from RNAcentral. Lineage: Eukaryota; Viridiplantae; Streptophyta; Magnoliopsida; Poales; Poaceae.
AUCGCUUGCGCAAUUUAGAAGAAAUCAUGCGAUUAUACGUCAAAGGGAGCUGAAAUAUCAAGCAAAAGAAAAGGUCAUCCCACAAAAGCCCAAAACUAUUGUAGGGAAAACACUUGUUUUACCUAUAAUUGAGCGUCGUAUUGGUGUUGCUGAUAUUUACUGCUAAACCAAGUCCAAUUUACCAGAAUAGUAUCUAGAAGAAUCCUUUUCACAUCCUCUAGCCCGCCAACAUCCUACCAUUUGACAUUGAGAACUAAAAAACAAAUUGUUCCCAGACGAAAGCUAAAGUCGCUUUAUACGAUUAGCUGCAGUAGGUGAGCACGAUCUCCGAACGCUGGGCAUGACACGACCAUGAUAGACGACAUGGACAUUUUGUCAAACACCUGCAUGGCGUCACCAGGGAAAACAAUCCAGCAGGAGAGUUGGGAGAGAGAUGGAAACAAUUAAUUAUGCAAACACGGAGGAGACACAAUUUGAAGAGUGUUCGUACACCUACGGCAAUCAGCGAAACGAUGAGAGAGCAUACCAAGCUCGGGUCGUCAGACACGCGGAGGACGGACGGUGGCACCGAUGGAGAUGGAGACAGUUGCGUGCCGUUUUUUG